This 1039-nucleotide long non-coding RNA is filed under the name Triticum aestivum (bread wheat). RNAcentral's name for it is "long non-coding RNA (TAES_LNC027135)". The record is from RNAcentral. Lineage: Eukaryota; Viridiplantae; Streptophyta; Magnoliopsida; Poales; Poaceae.
AUAUAAAAGGCUGCCUGGUAGCUAGUAAUUUAGAAAUUAGAUCAAGGAAUGUGAAAUAGACAUGCAGAAGUUACCACAUAGAUUCCUUUCAACACAGAUAAAGUUUGGAAUGGUAAAAAAAGUGACAUUAGAAACCGAAUUCAAGUGUCCUUUGUAUUGAUCACUGGACAGGACGAUAUUAUAUUCAUUAAGUCUUGGACUCGGUACGGCCCGACAUGCCUAGAGAGCACAUUUCCUCUGAUGCACAUAAGAAAUACGACAGUAAAAGACACAAGUCGUGCUGAGAUACUGAUUAUGUCGGCGUAUUUUGCCAACGACACAUUCAAUACAGCUUUCAAGUGAUAUAGCCUCCAUGGUAGACCGCAAUCAACCAGUAUGAGAUGUUGAUUCUCCCGAACAGGUUAGCAGACACGAAACAUUAAGAAUGAAGAGAAGACACAUACAACAAGACUCUGAUGGCAAAUCAGUUUCAACCUGGAAGACAACUCUGGGUUGUGUGUGGGGUUCGAAGCUGCAGAAUUCAACAACUAGGCAGGGAACAAAACAAAUGUUCCAGCAUCUCGCAAUCCUCCUUCAAUUUGUCGACGGCACUGAAGGCAAUCCACGUUAAUGAGCCUCUUAUUCACCUCGCUCCUUGUUAGGAUAAGUGAAAAGGUAGGUCAGAACAGAGUAGAGAUCUGCGGGGAGCAACAUGAGGGGAGGGGAGGGGACGAACGAGUGAGCACCUCGAGAGGCGGAGGGGGUAUGCGGAAGGUGAGGGCGAGGCUGAUAUGUCGCAGCGCAGGAUGAAGCGGGACUCGCCGCGCCGUGCUUGCCCUGCUGAUGCCGGUGGUCGCCACGGCCAUGGGCGGACGGGCGGCCGGCCGGCCGGAGUGGGGUGGUGAUGAGUUCGGGAGAAUCGCUGUGCCGCCGGCGCGAGGGAGCCCGGCUGGCUGUACAAGGGUUGGCGCGGCGCGGUGGCGGUGGUGAUCCGGCCGGCGUGGCUGCCUCGUCGUCUCCACACUCUGCAGAGAGACAGAUGCAAACCGAAACAGGCAAG